GAUGAAGAACGCAGCGAAAUGCGAUACGUAAUGUGAAUUGCAGAAUUCAGUGAAUCAUCGAAUCUUUGAACGCAUAUUGCGCUCUCUGGUAUUCCGGAGAGCAUGCUUGUUUGAGUAUCAGUAAACACCUCAACUUCCAUAUCUUUUUUGAAAUGGGAGUUGGACUUGAGUGAUCCCAACGCUUUUCCUCACCGAAAAGUGGCGGGUUACUUGAAAUGCAGGUGCAGCUGGACUUUUCUCUGAGCUAUAAGCAUAUCUAUUUAUUCUGCCUAAAAAUCAGAUUAUUACCUUUGCUGCAGCUAACAUAAAGGAGAUUAGUUCUUGUGCUGACUGAUGCAGGAUUCACAAAGACGGCUUCGGCCGACUUUGUAAACUCGAUCUCAAAUCAAGUAAGACUACCCGCUGAACUUAAGCAUAUCAAUAAGCGGAGGA
This 432-nucleotide unclassified non-coding RNA is filed under the name soil metagenome. Its description in RNAcentral is "partial contains 5.8S ribosomal RNA, internal transcribed spacer 2, and large subunit ribosomal RNA". The stretch from base 1 to 120 matches the Rfam family "5.8S ribosomal RNA", at positions 35 to 154 of the family's 154-position model. The record is from RNAcentral.